Spinacia oleracea (spinach) is the source of this 1165-nucleotide long non-coding RNA. RefSeq lists it as uncharacterized. The record is from RefSeq and is a predicted model, not a curated record. The transcript is spliced from 3 exons. NCBI's taxonomy places the organism in Eukaryota, Viridiplantae, Streptophyta, Magnoliopsida, Caryophyllales, Amaranthaceae.
AAAUACAAAUUCACAGCUGAAAUCGAGUAAUAAUCCUUCCUCCCCCUCUCUCAAAUCUCACCUGCGCUCUGUGGUCAUCGCUGCCCAUUUGCCACCAGAUCAACGACAGACGGCGGUACCGCUGGGGCACCACCUUCGUACACCGGAUCUUCAUCGGACUACUCACUUCCGGCGUUCCCUGCAGCCAGUCAGCCACCGCAAGCCAUUCCGCGCAAGAUUGCAGGGCGUAGGUAAUUACACUGGAUGCCUCGUUAUCUUUGAUGAUGUGAAGACUGAUGCUAUCUAUGAAGAAACACUGGAAACUGUCUCUAAUGUUGCUAAGGUUGUAGACAGUCUUUUCAACAGGUCUGCAAAGAUUAUGGUCUGAGGGUGCAAUAUAUUAGGGCCUUAAAAUGUGCCUGUUUUGGUGACAUGAAAAAUUAUUGUUUUCGGACAGUCGACCGGCCAAAUAGCUGGAAAACGAAGAAAGUAGCCAAAAGUGAGGCCAUGUGCCUUGCACAUGAUGGUCAACAGCCAGAAAACGGAAGUCAAUGCCGAAAAGUGGUCUCAGAUUGUCUCUCGCAAAUAAUUUAAGUUUAAGGUGGUCUGACUUCACCAAAAAUUUUAUAUAAGGAUGGAGGACUUGGCCAGUGAAGUAGGAUGAACACUCAUUACUUGCGAGGAAAACAUAAGAAGGUGCAACUUCAAAUGGUUGUCCUGCUCUAUCCAUUGGUGUCUCAGAACCCAAAGUUACAAUCUUUUCCACAGGAAGUGAAUUAGCUACUUGUAUAGGAGUCCAAAUAGGACCUGGUGCAACCCCAUUUACUCGUAUUCCUCUCUUGAUGAAUUGAAGGCUCAAGCUUCUGGUGAAGGUGACAAUGGCUCCUUUGCUAGCACUGUAGUCAACACGAUUUGCUUCUCCUUUGUAUGCCUGAACUGAGGCUGUGUUUAUUAUGCUGCUACCUUCUUUCAUGUGCUUAACUGCAUGUCUGCAACAAGGGAAUUAAUUCAGUAACAACCUGUUUUUACCCCCACUUUAACAAAUAAGAAUGUAUCUAAAUUUCGCUAAAAUGAUAUACCAAGUACUCCCUCCGUUUUUAAAUAUGUAUCACUUUUUUUUUUAAAGUGACGUUCCUUAUAUAUGUCCACUUUUUAUUUUUGAACAUACAUUUUUCACACUUUUCCA